Molecule: ribosomal RNA, 253 nt
Filed under: uncultured bacterium
Lineage: Bacteria
Description: partial 16S ribosomal RNA
Rfam family: Bacterial small subunit ribosomal RNA
Source: RNAcentral
UACGUAGGGUGCGAGCGUUAAUCGGAAUUACUGGGCGUAAAGCGUGCGCAGGCGGUUUUGUAAGACAGGCGUGAAAUCCCCGGGCUCAACCUGGGAAUGGCGCUUGUGACUGCGAGGCUAGAGUAUGGCAGAGGGGGGUGGAAUUCCACGUGUAGCAGUGAAAUGCGUAGAGAUGUGGAGGAACACCGAUGGCGAAGGCAGCCCCCUGGGCCAAUACUGACGCUCAUGCACGAAAGCGUGGGGAGCAAACAGG